This 343-nucleotide ribosomal RNA is filed under the name Darwiniella sp. 2 MM-2014. RNAcentral's name for it is "partial 12S ribosomal RNA". Lineage: Eukaryota; Metazoa; Arthropoda; Thecostraca; Balanomorpha; Pyrgomatidae. The record is from RNAcentral.
GUGUACACAAGAUAGAGCUCUCAUCAAGUUUUAUUAAACUUUACAAUUAAAUCCACCUUCAAAAGUUGUUUCAGAAACUAAAUCCGUAUUAAUCUUAUAAUUGUAACCCACCUCUAUCUUUUAUAUAAGCUGCACCUUUACUUGAAGUAGAUGAAUAUUUCAUAAAGGAAAGUUUUCUAAAAAAACUGACUGACAACAGCGGUAUACAAACUGAUUACAAAUAAAAGUAGAGUAUAUUCGUGGCUCAUCGUUUAUAGGGCAGGUUCCUCUAAAUGGCUAUCUUGCCGCCAAAUCCGUUAAAUUUCAUUAUUUAUACUAUUCCAAAAUUUAUUAUUUAUAAGUA